Molecule: ribosomal RNA, 253 nt
Filed under: uncultured bacterium
Lineage: Bacteria
Description: partial 16S ribosomal RNA
Rfam family: Bacterial small subunit ribosomal RNA
Source: RNAcentral
UACGUAGGUGGCGAGCGUUAUCCGGAAUGAUUGGGCGUAAAGGGUGCGUAGGCGGCCUGCUAAGUCUGAAGUGAAAAUCCAGCGCUUAACGUUGGAAGUGCUUUGGAAACUGCCGGGCUGGAGUGCAGGAGGGGCAGGCGGAAUUCCUAGUGUAGCGGUGAAAUGCGUAGAUAUUAGGAGGAACACCAGUGGCGAAGGCGGCCUGCUGGACUGCAACUGACGUUGAGGCUCGAAGGCGUGGGGAGCAAACAGG